Molecule: ribosomal RNA, 253 nt
Filed under: uncultured bacterium
Lineage: Bacteria
Description: partial 16S ribosomal RNA
Rfam family: Bacterial small subunit ribosomal RNA
Source: RNAcentral
UACGUAGGCAGCAAGCGUUGUUCGGAGUUACUGGGCGUAAAGGGUGUGUAGGCGGUCCGCUAAGUUUGGUGUGAAAUCUCCCGGCUCAACUGGGAGGGUGCGCCGAAUACUGGCAGGCUAGAGUGUGGGAUGGGAGAGUGGAAUUCCUGGUGUAGCGGUGAAAUGCGUAGAUAUCAGGAGGAACACCUGUGGUGUAGACGGCUCUCUGGACCAUCACUGACGCUGAGACACGAAAGCGUGGGUAGCAAACAGG